Molecule: long non-coding RNA, 1270 nt
Filed under: Lactuca sativa (garden lettuce)
Lineage: Eukaryota; Viridiplantae; Streptophyta; Magnoliopsida; Asterales; Asteraceae
Description: long non-coding RNA (LSAT_LNC007715)
Source: RNAcentral
AGGUACCUUAUCUUUUUUACAGUUGUUUCUCUAUAUUUAACAUCUGCAUGUUUGAUCUAUUACAUGCUGUUCCUUUUUCUAGCAGAUUCGGUGUUAUUUUGUUCCGAUUUUUAUGGAUUCAACAAAAGUUCAUUUCCAUUCCGUUUGUUGAUAUUUAUGCUCGAUCUGAUGCUAUCCAUAUCAAAUGAUCAUAUAUUCAACUCCGAUUCAACCGAUUCAUAGUUUAAUUUGAAGCAAUUUUUUUUUUGUUUUCUUCUGGAUGAUUUUUUUGUUGUUUAUUGCUUCGAGGUAUAUAUACCUGAUGCUCUGAUUUUCGAAGGUUACAUGGAUGUCUUUAUCAUCAUGUCAUUAUUUCUUCCUAAAAUAAGAUCUGCGUAUCAAAGUUAUUUAAUUUGUUAAUUACGAUACGAUCGUAUAUAAAAUUAUACUACAACUCUGAAUAAUUACAGGUCGCCAUCAUCGAGCAAUCUGUGAGCCCAGGAGGUGGAGCAUGGCUCGGAGGUCAACUCUUCUCCGCCAUGGUCGUCCGCAAGCCCGCACACCUCUUCCUCGACGAGCUUGAAAUCGAGUACGACGAGCAAGAAGACUACGUAGUCAUCAAACACGCGGCUCUCUUCACCUCCACCAUCAUGAGCAAGCUCUUAGCCAGGCCAAACGUGAAGCUCUUCAACGCAGUAGCAGCCGAGGACUUAAUCAUCAAGGGAGGUAGAGUCAGUGGCGUUGUAACUAACUGGGCUUUAGUCGCAAUGAACCACGACACACAAUCCUGCAUGGACCCGAAUGUAAUGGAGGCUAAAGUGGUUGUGAGUUCAUGUGGACACGAUGGACCCAUGGGUGCUACAGGAGUGAAAAGGCUCAGAAGCGUUGGAUUGAUUGAGAGUGUUCCUGGGAUGAAGGCUCUUGACAUGAACGCUGCUGAAGAUGCGAUUGUGAAGUUGACUAGAGAGAUUGUUCCUGGUAUGAUUGUUACAGGAAUGGAAGUUGCAGAGAUCGAUGGAUCUCCAAGAAUGGUAAUUAAUUAAAAUCGAUUACUUAUAAUUUAUAAAAUAUAAUCCAUCUUUUUUUUUUUUUCUUGAAAAUGAUUGUGGAAAUGGUGUAUGUGAACAGGGGCCGACGUUUGGGGCUAUGAUGAUAUCUGGACAGAAGGCUGCUCAUCUGGCUUUGAGGGCUUUAGGGCUUCCGAAUGCUUUGGAUGGGACAAGUGUGGGAAGUGUUCAUCCAGAGAUGAUUCUUGCUGCUGUUGAUUCUGGUGAGACUGUGGAUGCCUAAG